This 3547-nucleotide unclassified non-coding RNA is filed under the name Hevea brasiliensis (rubber tree). Lineage: Eukaryota; Viridiplantae; Streptophyta; Magnoliopsida; Malpighiales; Euphorbiaceae. The record is from RNAcentral.
UGGUCUGAUAGAUAACCCCAUAGAGCUGUUUAUGAAAGAUAUCUGGAAGCUUCCAAAAUAUGUUGUCACUGCCACUCUACAGUGCGCUGGUAACAGGAGGACUGCCAUGAGCAAUGUCAAAAAAGUAAGAGGAGUUGGCUGGGAUGUUUCUGCUAUAGGAAAUGCUGUCUGGGGUGGUGCCAAAUUGGCAGAUGUUCUUGAACUUGUUGGGAUAUCCAAGUUCACGGGUACCACAAACUCAGGUGGAAAACAUGUUGAAUUUAUAAGCAUUGAUAAGUGUAAGGAGGAGAAUGGUGGCCCUUACAAGGCAUCAAUUCCACUCAGUCAGGCCACAAACCCUGAGGCUGAUGUUUUACUUGCUUAUGAGAUGAAUGGGGAGCCUCUAAACAGGGAUCAUGGUUAUCCAUUGCGAGUGGUUGUCCCAGGUGUUAUAGGUGCACGUUCUGUCAAAUGGUUGGAUUCCAUUAACAUAAUUGCAGAAGAAUGUCAGGGCUUCUUUAUGCAAAAGGACUACAAAAUGUUUGCCCCAUCAGUGAAUUGGGAUAACAUCAAUUGGUCUACAAGGAAGCCACAAAUGGAUUUCCCUGUACAGGUAUAUGCUUGAUACUGCUCCAAAGAAUUUUCAUUUUUUCUUUGGAUUAAAAGAAGAUUUUUGACAGAAAAUUAAAAAAAAAAAACUAUGUAGAUGGUAAAUUGUCCUCUUCUCUAUGAAUACAAGUUAUUUGGAAAUAACUGAAACGAUGAAGUGACACCCUAUAAUCAAAUUCAGUGUAAGGUAAAGGCACUCACUUAGAAACCUCUGAAGCAGACCCAUAAUCCAAAAGGGGUUCUUUUGUCUAACCAACAAUAACUCCAAAGGCAAAAUGAUUUUAAAGAAUUGACCAUCUCUCCAACCAAAUACGCCUAUCAGUUGCCAACAGCAUGACACUGUUGUUCUAAGCCUCUUUCCAACUCCUAAAAGCAGAAGAUUUAUACGGACUUUCCUUUAUGUCUUUGGAAAUACUCAACUUGCUUCAAAUUUAUCAAAUAGCUGAUGCGAAUAUAAACAGAAGCAUUGCAAUAAAGAGAAAGACUUCACUCCCUUUUUACCAGUUAGCAUUAUGUCAAUAGCUGAUAUGCGUUAUCAAGUCUUCAUAUCUGCAACAAGUCAGUAACAAUUAUUUGGAGUGCUUCACAGAAUAUUUGUUACUUAUUAUAUUGUAUAUGUGAUAUAGACGAAUCUUUUAGGGCCAAAAAUGAAAAUUGAAUGACCCUUGGUGUUGUUUUAUUUUAUCAAUUCGAUCUGAACUGCAGUGUAUGGGAAAAAAAGAAGGUGCGCUAAUUUUUAUGUGCAUUUAAUUUUCCUUUAUAGCACAAUCAGUAAUAGACACACUUAUAUAAUUAAGUAACAACUGUUUUUUUUUCCUAGACAGUAAUUAAUUAUCUCACCCUUAUUGAUUGACAGUGUGCAAUUUGUUCUUUAGAGGAUGUGGCUGCAGUGAAGCCUGGAAAGGUGAAAGUCAGUGGAUAUGCGGCAUCAGGAGGUGGCCGUGGAAUUGAGAGAAUAGAUGUGUCUGUUGAUGGUGGCAAAACCUGGGUGGAAGCUUUUAGACAUCAGAAGACUGGUGUCCCUUAUAUCGCAGAUGAUAUGAACAGUGACAAAUGGGCAUGGGUACUUUUUGAGGUCAUAGUUGAUGUGUCACGCAGCACAGAGAUUGUUGCAAAAGCAGUAUGUAUUCAUUUUAAUUCUGUUUUAAUCUUGUCUUUCCUCAAAUGCAUCAAUUGUAUUUAAUGCAUGCUUGAAAAUAUGCAUGUUUGUGCAUGACUUCUAUAAUUUUUGAAGUACCUAAAAUCACAUGCAAAUAUGUUUCUAAAAUUAAAGAUUUAGUUGUAUGAUUAUGAUGUCCUUUCUAUAUUUGGACCAAAGCCAUGGUUUGCAAAGCCCUGCUCCAGUCUGACCUACUAGCUAAAAGCUUGAGAGCAUCUAACCAGGGUUUAGCCCAUUAAAUACCUUGGAAUUUCAUGCAUCUCGUUUUCGUUAAUUUACCUAUAAAUUUGCAAUACAUGAGGUUCCCUCUUCCAUCAUGGACAGGUGGAUUCAGCAGCAAAUGUCCAACCAGAAAAUGUACUAGAGAUUUGGAAUUUGAGAGGGAUACUUAACACUUCGUGGCAUCGUGUUAAAGUCCAAGUUGGUCACUCAAACAUGUAGACCAUGUUUGGGUUUGGUUUUCCAUAUCCAUAUGGUACUAGAAUAACAUUCCUAGUGCUUUGACAGUGCUGUUUACUAAGUUGCUUAAGCUUUUAUUUUUCAUAUGUACAGACAUGUUACCUUUUAGCAUCAGUGUGACUACCGCUCUUGACUUGUGAUAAUCAGUGUUGAUCAAAAUAACUUGUGGUAGGGGGAGCCUAGAAAAGCAGUCUCUCCAUUGUUUGACAAUGAACUAUGAUGUUAAAUUUUGUAAAAUAAUUACUGCUUGGUUAAUCGUUUUUGUUUUUUAAGGCACGGGGAUAUUGUAAUUUAAUUGGUAUCUAUUAUUAAACUUAGGAACAAUUAGAUUUAGUUAGUUUGCAUCGACCGCGUUUUGGCCAAUAAUAAGAAUUGUCGGCCACUUCGAGGUAAAUAAUAUUAUGACUGUUAGUUUAGCAUUAUUCUACAGAGGAACUAUUUGGGUUCCAGGAAAUUUUAUAGUAUUGGAGUAAUGUUGUGAACACAGAGGAACUUGGAGAGAAGGAUAAUGUAAUGAAUUGAUGGAAUGGAAGCCACUCUUUGGACCACUCGAGGUUGUAAAUGGGUGAUAAUCCAUCCACUUUUACCUGUUUAAGUCAAAGGUUCGAUCCUCCUGGGAGGGAAAUGCUCUUCUUGAGGACUCGGAUUAAGGAUCAUCAGUCCUCAGGCUCUGUAUAAAUUGAAUACUGAAUUUGUACCAUGGAUGGCAGGAUGAGGUUUGAGAUUAAAUCUAGAUGACAGUGUUUGACCGCAAUCUAAAUCUGCAGAAGCAAUGACUAUGCAUGGGGACUGUCCCUUUCACAGUAAAAUAAAAAGAAAAAGAAAAGUAGGUCCAACUUGAAGAACUUUGGCUGGAAAUGGCAAACAAGAAGUCAUUAGUCACAUCAGGUUGGUUACUGAUGAGUCGGAUGUGUGUCAUCUUCAUCUUCCAGGUUCUGGACCUCUGCUUGUUUAGGGGGUUGCAGGUCUUUAUUUUUUAAAUUUUUUACUUUUGAUCCAAUUCUCAAUUUCUUUACUUGUAUUCUAUCAAUAUGAUGUUGUCAGGCCAAUCCUUGACUGUGCAUGUAAGUAGGGGUGUGAACUAGUUGAAAGAUAGCAAACACGUGUUGGAAAGAUUGAUCAUGUAAUCACAGUUGGAGCAAUUAAUAAUGUCCAAUCAUUCUUUUCUGCUGCAAGUUGUAAGCAUUCAGAAGCAAGACAAGUCAACUCUGUCCCUUUCUUUUAAGAGUACUUUUCCUUUCCCAUACUUGUCUGCAUCUGCCAUAGCAUUGCCCAUGUGGCAGCAGACAUUGAUCAAUAUUAGAACCUGCAACCAUGUCCACAUUUGAAAUAAUUAUUAUA